AGGUAGUCACUUUACGUAAAACCAUUAUUCUAUGGCGGCGUCUAAAUCUAUCAAAGGAACUCGUUUAUUAAUCGACAUUACCCGUUAAUUUUUACUCAAGCUACCAAGUUUGUAUACCGCCGUACCUAGUAAACUAAAAUUUAUACCCUAACUAACUCAGAAUCAGGUCAAGGUGCAACUUAUUCUUGUGAAUAAAUAAGUUACUAUAAACUUUAUUUAUGGAAAAAUAAUAAAAUUUAUUAAAAAACAGGAUUUGAUCUCAAUUUAUAACUAAAAAAUAUAACCGAAAUUUUCUACCCGUGC
Molecule: ribosomal RNA, 303 nt
Filed under: Rhode scutiventris
Lineage: Eukaryota; Metazoa; Arthropoda; Arachnida; Araneae; Dysderidae
Description: partial 12S ribosomal RNA
Source: RNAcentral